This 516-nucleotide ribosomal RNA is filed under the name uncultured Campylobacterota bacterium. RNAcentral's name for it is "bacterial SSU rRNA". It matches the Rfam family "Bacterial small subunit ribosomal RNA", at positions 885 to 1396 of the family's 1533-position model. The record is from RNAcentral. Lineage: Bacteria; Pseudomonadati; Campylobacterota.
GUCGCAAGAUUAAAACUCAAAGGAAUAGACGGGGACCCGCACAAGCGGUGGAGCAUGUGGUUUAAUUCGACGAUACGCGAAGAACCUUACCUGGCCUUGACAUAGAAAGAAUUUAGCAGAGAUGUAAAAGUGCUAGUUUACUAGAGCUUUCAUACAGGUGCUGCACGGCUGUCGUCAGCUCGUGUCGUGAGAUGUUAGGUUAAGUCCUGCAACGAGCGCAACCCUCGUGUUUAGUUACUAACAGAUUAUGCUGAGGACUCUAGACAUACUGCCUGGGCAACCAGGAGGAAGGUGAGGACGACGUCAAGUCAUCAUGGCCCUUACGGCCAGGGCUACACACGUGCUACAAUGGGGUAUACAAAGAGCAGCGAUACCGCGAGGUGGAGCAAAUCUCAUAAAAUAUCUCCCAGUUCGGAUUACACUCUGCAACUCGAGUGUAUGAAGUUGGAAUCGCUAGUAAUCGUAGAUCAGCAAUGCUACGGUGAAUACGUUCCCGGGUCUUGUACUCACCGCCCG